GGAAGGAAGGAAGAGGGAUUAACUGUUACAUUUUUAGUCUUUAGUCGAUUAUAAUAUAAACGUGAUUUUCCACUUGCCUUUGUUGUUUUUAAUUAGCUCGUGUUUUUCCAGCUUGCUCUUACAUCACAACCCCUGGUUUUAAAACAAAUCACAAUUGGUGACACCAUCAGAGCCUCCCACAGCCAUCAAGGCGCCGUUGAACACAACAAGGGACAUCUGAGGAACAAUAUACAAUAGAGUCCACCUCAUGUUGUCCGGGUCAAACUUCUCCGCACCGCAGAGCUCCAGGUUGAGCUCGUCUCUGCCCCCGGCCACGUAGAUGCGUCCCAGGUACACGGCGCACCCGGCAUUCUCCCUGGGACUCAGCAUGUGGGCG
Molecule: long non-coding RNA, 376 nt
Organism: Sebastes umbrosus (honeycomb rockfish)
Lineage: Eukaryota; Metazoa; Chordata; Actinopteri; Perciformes; Sebastidae
Exons: 3
Source: RefSeq, a predicted model, not a curated record